UAGGGAAUCUUCGGCAAUGGACGGAAGUCUGACCGAGCAACGCCGCGUGAGUGAAGAAGGUUUUCGGAUCGUAAAGCUCUGUUGUAAGAGAAGAACGAGUGUGAGAGUGGAAAGUUCACACUGUGACGGUAUCUUACCAGAAAGGGACGGCUAACUACGUGCCAGCAGCCGCGGUAAUACGUAGGUCCCGAGCGUUGUCCGGAUUUAUUGGGCGUAAAGCGAGCGCAGGCGGUUAGAUAAGUCUGAAGUUAAAGGCUGUGGCUUAACCAUAGUAGGCUUUGGAAACUGUUUAACUUGAGUGCAAGAGGGGAGAGUGGAAUUCCAUGUGUAGCGGUGAAAUGCGUAGAUAUAUGGAGGAACACCGGUGGCGAAAGCGGCUCUCUGGCUUGUAACUGACGCUGGGGCUCGAAAGCGUGGGGAGCAAACAGGAUUAGAUACCCUGGUAGUCCACACUGUAAACGAUGAGUGCUAGGUGUUAGACCCUUUCCGGGGUUUAGUGCCGUAGCUAACGCAUUAAGCACUCCGCUCGGGGAGUACGACUGCAAGGUUG
Molecule: ribosomal RNA, 550 nt
Filed under: uncultured bacterium
Lineage: Bacteria
Description: bacterial SSU rRNA
Rfam family: Bacterial small subunit ribosomal RNA
Source: RNAcentral